GUAGGUGAACCUGCGGAAGGAUCAUUAAAAGUAAAUAUGUAUUCCAUGGAAUAUGCAUUUCAAACCCAUCUGUGUAUCUUACCUGUUGCUUCCGUGCUGCGUGGACUCUUGGGUCCCCUCUUGCUGUACACGUUACGGUUGUGAGUGUCGGCACGGGAGGUACACUUCAAACUCUUGCAUUUUAUGUCAUCGGUCUGAACCUGUUUAUUAAAUAAAACUUAAAACUUUCAACAACGGAUCUCUUGGUUCU
Molecule: unclassified non-coding RNA, 250 nt
Filed under: plant metagenome
Description: partial contains small subunit ribosomal RNA, internal transcribed spacer 1, and 5.8S ribosomal RNA
Source: RNAcentral